UGGGAAAAGUUUUAAGGGGAGAAUGGUAUAGAGGAGAACAAAUUUUAAAGCUUGGCUACUUGGGAAUUUGUUAUUCGCAAAACAAACAUGCCUUAACUCGUUUAAUCUAUUUAAUUCAUCAAAUUGACUUAUUUUACAAGGGGAAGUGUUUGGGGGCUUCGGUUGUAUCUUUAUGAUACUAUUCCUAUUCCCGUGUGUCAAAACACUGAUGAAUCCCGUCAAAAAUUUUCCCUCUGUGAUUCACCUCCCAACUUUGUUUUUAUGUAAUCAAAACAAUCAGAAUGUGGCUGAACCUGACCAUUCUUAUAGUGCAGUCGAACGAAUCUGAGUGAGACUUCUGUUUCACUCUGAGUAAUUAAAGAAGAAAGACUUCCAUGGUCUGCAGAAAAUAAUAGAAAAAGAAAAAACCCUAACCCAAACCCAUUUUCUAUUCUUCUUCCUUUCAAUUUUUUUUUAAUUUUUUUUUAAUUAAAAGCAGGAUUUAAUAAUCCAUGGCGGCGAUCCCGAUGCUUUCUCCUGCUAACCGAACCAGCUUCGCUUCACCUCCAAGGAGACUGUUUUCGUGUGGUUUCGUCGGAGAAUCAAACUUCUUUGGCUCCAAAUUUCCCCAGAGAAUUCUCUCCUUUUCCACUAAGAAAAUCAGAGCAGAACGAUCUGGACCCGCUCAUGGUUCAGCUAUGGACCCGACUCGUGCGUCUCAUUCGUUCGAUGUGGUGAUAAUUGGAGCCGGAAUAAUCGGGUUGAGCAUUGCCCGGCAGUUCCUGCUGCACUCGGACCUCUCUGUCGCCGUGGUUGAUAAGGACGUCCCCUGCUCCGGCUCUACCGGUGCAGGGCAGGGCUACUUAUGGAUGGUACAUAAAACACCUGGGAGUGAUAUAUGGGAGCUGUCAAUAAGAAGCCACAAACUGUGGGAGCUAUUGGCUGAGAGCAUACAGGAGCAAGGCAUGAAUCCUUUGGAAGUAUUGGGCUGGAAGAAGACAGGAAGUUUGUUAAUUGGGAGAACCCUUAAAGAGUCUGACAUGUUAAAAAGAAGGGUGAAUCUACUUGUUGAAGCUGGUUUGAGUGCAGAAUAUUUGUGUAGCAGCGAUCUGCUAUUAAAGGAACCGGCAGUUAUGGUUGAGAAAGAAGGUGGGGCCGCUUUUCUUCCUGAUGACUGCCAAUUGGAUGCUCGCCAUACUGUUGCAUUUAUUAGAAAGGCUAAUGAGGUUUUUGCAUCGGAAGGCAGAUAUGCAGAGUUCUUUAAUGAUCCAGCUACUUUGUUAUUAAGAUCUGGUAAUACUGGGGAGAUUGAAGCUGUUCAAACUUCCAAGAAUAUCUUGUACCGUAAGAAGGCCAUUAUUGUGGCAGCUGGCUGCUGGAGUGGGUCUUUAAUACAUGAUUUACUUAGAAAUUCAGACGUUGUGUUGGAUGUCCCUGUAAAGCCCCGGAAGGGUCACCUGCUUGUGCUAGAGAAUUUCAAUUUCCUCCAACUGAAACAUGGUCUGAUGGAGGUGGGAUAUGCUAACCAUGAAGUUACAGCUCAGCAUACCACCAGUUCAGCAUCAGGAGAUCAAGGGCAAGCCUUGUCUAUUUCAAUGACAGCCACCAUGGACACAGUGGGAAACCUUGUUCUGGGGAGCAGCCGCCAGUUUUCUGGAUUUGAUACAAAUGUAGAUGAGUACAUACUUGAUCAUAUAUGGGAACGGGCUAGGGUGUUCUUCCCCUCUUUAAAAGAGCUGCCUCUGAAUGAUUUCACUAGAAGCAGAGAAGUGAGAGUAGGAUUACGCCCUUACAUGCCUGAUGGCAAACCAUUGAUUGGACCUGUUCCUGGCUUCUCAAAUCUAUUCCUUGCUACUGGACAUGAAGGAGGGGGACUUUCAAUGGCUUUGGGAACUGCUGAAAUGGUUGUUGAUAUGGUGUUAGGCAAUCCGGGGAAAGUUGAUUAUGCUCCUUUUGCUGUUCAAGGUCGAUGUGUUUGAUUAAAUUUAGGUCAGCCAAGACAAAUAAUGCAGGUGCAUACUCUAUGAUCAUUUCAUGGAUGCAAAUGCAUCUUGUACCAGCAGCUUGAACACACACUCUCAAAUUGAUUCUCACGAAACUUCUCAAAUCUUUGUCGGACCUCUUCGUUGUCUGUCCACUCUGGUGAUGGCUUCUGACCUAUAUACACUUCGUCUGAUGCGUGCUGAGAGAGUACCUCUAUCAAUGCUACACCAAUGGUCAUCUCAAAUCUUGCAGGCAGCAUUUUAAGAUAGUAUCCGUCUGGAUCUUUAAGGAAAGCAGCAAAUUCAUGUGUUCCUUCAUUUGGAAUGAAUUGUCGACAUAGUGUGGGACGAUUUGGUGGGUAACCAGCAUAUGCAUAUUGGCCAAAGUUGACUGAAGCGUGAAGAGCUGAAGCAAUCCAUAUCAGAGUGGUCAGAGCCUCUAUUAGGUCCAUUAAAGUUGUCAGUGGAUACCACCAUCUCUCAUUGCACUUAUCACCAUGACCCACAUUUUUAAUCUCUGACCACCAUGCUUGUAUUUCCACAUCAGACCUGACAGAAUCGUCAUCAGUGUAGAAGAGUGAACAAAAAUCUGUGACCCAUGUCUUGAUGGCAGUCCAUAUCUCAAGUCCAUCUGCACCAUAAGGGUAGUCUUCUAAGAGUGGAUAAACCCCGGUGGGAUUAUCUGGAUCUUUUAGAGCCAGGCCUCUGCAAAUAUUGUGGCAUGAGGGAAUUAUUUUGGAAAAUGGAAGUAUAAAAAAGUUGUCUAUUAUUCCAGGAUUUGUCAGACUGUGUUGUAGAAAUUCAUAUUUAACCUUGAUCUUGUCAGAGUAAAUAUGACAUAUGAGUGAAAGACUGAUACUACUUUGAUUAUUUUAUACAUGUUUGUAACUAUAUCAUGCCUAUUCUAUUUUAUGUGUCAUGUAUACAUGCACAUAUUAUCUUAUUCACAUU
RNA transcript from Vitis vinifera (wine grape), 2912 nucleotides. RefSeq lists it as uncharacterized. The transcript has 10 exons. The record is from RefSeq and is a predicted model, not a curated record. NCBI's taxonomy places the organism in Eukaryota, Viridiplantae, Streptophyta, Magnoliopsida, Vitales, Vitaceae.